UACGGAGGGGGCUAGCGUUGUCCGAAGUUACUGGGCGUAAAGCGCGCGUAGGCGGGUUGGUAAGUCCGCUGUGAAAGCCCGGAGCUUAACUCCGGAGGGUCGGUGGAUACUGCCAGUCUUGAAGGUGCUAGGGGGAGAUGGAAUUACCGGUGUAGCGGUGAAAUGCGUAGAUAUCGGUAGGAACACCAGUGGCGAAGGCGGUCUCCUGGGGCAUUCUUGACGCUGAGGCGCGAAAGCGUGGGGAGCGAACAGG
Molecule: ribosomal RNA, 253 nt
Filed under: uncultured bacterium
Lineage: Bacteria
Description: partial 16S ribosomal RNA
Rfam family: Bacterial small subunit ribosomal RNA
Source: RNAcentral